This 255-nucleotide ribosomal RNA is filed under the name uncultured bacterium. RNAcentral describes it as "partial 16S ribosomal RNA". It matches the Rfam family "Bacterial small subunit ribosomal RNA", at positions 99 to 354 of the family's 1533-position model. The record is from RNAcentral.
CGGACGGGUGAGUAACGCGUGGAAAACCUGCCGUAUACUGGGGGAUAACACUUAGAAAUAGGUGCUAAUACCGCAUAAGCGCACAGCUUCGCAUGAAGCGGUGUGAAAAACUCUGGUGGUAUACGAUGGUUCCGCGUCUGAUUAGCUAGCUGGUGGGGUAAUGGCCUACCAAGGCAACGAUCAGUAGCCGGCCUGAGAGGGUGAACGGCCACAUUGGGACUGAGACACGGCCCAAACUCCUACGGAAGGCAGCAG